Molecule: ribosomal RNA, 717 nt
Filed under: uncultured bacterium
Lineage: Bacteria
Description: bacterial SSU rRNA
Rfam family: Bacterial small subunit ribosomal RNA
Source: RNAcentral
GUGGGGAGCAAACAGGAUUAGAUACCCUGGUAGUCCACGCCCUAAACGAUGCUGACUAGUUGUUGGGAAUUUACAUUCUCAGUAACGUAGCUAACGCGUGAAGUCAGCCGCCUGGGGAGUACGGUCGCAAGAUUAAAACUCAAAGGAAUUGACGGGGACCCGCACAAGCGGUGGAUGAUGUGGAUUAAUUCGAUGCAACGCGAAAAACCUUACCUACCCUUGACAUGUCACUAACGAAGUAGAGAUACAUUAGGUGCUCGUAAGGGAAAGUGAACACAGGUGCUGCAUGGCUGUCGUCAGCUCGUGUCGUGAGAUGUUGGGUUAAGUCCCGCAACGAGCGCAACCCUUGUCUUUAGUUGCUACGAAAGAGCACUCUAAAGAGACUGCCGGUGACAAACCGGAGGAAGGUGGGGAUGACGUCAAGUCCUCAUGGCCCUUAUGGGUAGGGCUUCACACGUCAUACAAUGGUGCGUACAGAGGGUUGCCAACCCGCGAGGGGGAGCUAAUCUCUUAAAACGCAUCGUAGUCCGGAUCGUAGUCUGCAACUCGACUACGUGAAGCUGGAAUCGCUAGUAAUCGCGGAUCAGCAUGUCGCGGUGAAUACGUUCCCGGGUCUUGUACACACCGCCCGUCACACCAUGGGAGUGGGUUUUGCCAGAAGCAGUUAGCCUAACCGCAAGGGGGGCGAUUGCCACGGCAGGGUUCAUGACUGGGGUG